Antechinus flavipes (yellow-footed antechinus) is the source of this 1040-nucleotide long non-coding RNA. RefSeq lists it as uncharacterized. Lineage: Eukaryota; Metazoa; Chordata; Mammalia; Dasyuromorphia; Dasyuridae. The record is from RefSeq and is a predicted model, not a curated record. The transcript is spliced from 4 exons.
UCUGAUAUCUGUUGAAGUUACUUCUUAAAAAAACACAAUAACUACAACAAAAACCUGGCAUGUUCUGAUCCCAAUAAAAAGGGAGUACUGAACAACAAAUAUAUAUAGCAGGCUGGCACCCUUUUUGACAAACUUUAUGGGCCUGUCCAAAUUAGAUAUGUAUGAAUUUAAUUUCAUUUUUAUUUGCUUUUCUUCCCUCUUCUUUUUUUCCAUUUCCUCUCUCCUUCCUUUCUUUCUGCCUUUUCUCUCCAUCCCUCCCUCUCUUCAUCCCUUCCUUCCAUCCUUCUUUCCUUUCUCCCUCUUCUUCUUCUCUCUUUCCUCCUUCUUGUUCCUUCUUUUAGUUUUGCUUUAGUCAGGUCUCUAAAAUAAAUGGGGAUUUGCCUGUGACUUAAGAGAUUUUUAAAUUAUUAUAUAUUAUCUUUAUUACAAUGGCAUUUAUUGUAAUGGGUUAUGUGUCAUAUCAUUUCUGCAUUUUGACAAAUUCUUUUUUCUCCUUUAAAACCUAGGUGGACAAUUCUGUGUUAUAGUUCUACUUUUAAUAGACCUCUAGAUUUUUACCAUACCCAUAAUAGCACCACUUUUAAGUAACCAAAGCAAUAAUGCUUUGAUCAUCGUAACAGCAACAAACAUUAGAGGAUGGCAGUCAUCAGAUAUUCCACUGAAGGAAACAAAAUAUGCCAUUGAAGGAAUAGGCUUGAAUACUUUAUCCCAAGUUGAUGAAUGGGGUUCUACACAAAUGACAUUCUUUAGUGUAUAAUAUUAAUGAACCAUAAGAUAUAAAAUCAUUUUCUUCAGCCCUGAACCACAGACCUGUUUGCUCCUUCAGAGUGAAAUAUCCACUGAUAUCUGAUUGACUCAGACAAGUGUCCCACCUGGCAGGAGUCCAGAAAUAACAAGACUGCUAUAUUCAGCUAGGUUAAGAAAGCAGAAAAAAAGAACAGUUCAGCAAAACCAACCAAUGCAUCAAUGGUGUCUGACAACACGUAUGCAAUGAUUUACAGCCAUAAUAAAUCAAUCAAUAAAACAUUAAGUGCUCACUA